AAAUCUUUUUGUUAUGUCUUGAACUGAUAGCUUGCAGAGUUGCAGUGCAUGGCAAAUUACUGCAGCGCAUGUUGACGUCUUCGCACAUUGUUAUGUGUUGGUCCAUUGCUGCUGUGAGUUAGUGGUAUGCAGCAUUACAGGAAUGUGUGUUUUGUGUUAUGCAUGCCCUGGCCUGAACUCAGCCUCACACCUCAGCUAUUUAUUUUAACAAGAAAGGGCAAGACAUCUAAGUUCAGCUCACUGGGAAGAAAAACAUGUGGGCUGACAACGCAAUCUUAAUUUAAGGUCCACUGAAAGAUCAGAAACAGACAGAGAAACACCUAAAAGUUUCCUUCAGGUGCAGGGCACAGCUCCCUUUGGUUAGACGCCUACAUUUUUAAAAUCAAAACAAGACUGAGUGCACUUCCCUUUUCUCUGCUCCAGGAAUCGAAUAGGUUUGUGCCCGGAUUCAUCUGUUCUUAGGUGUUUUCUUAGAACAAAUGCUGCCAUCUUGCUGUCGGUAAAGGAACUGGAUUUUAAAUAUUGGCUUGGUGAAAUUCUCCUGAAGGAGAACCACUUUGGAACCGGUGUUGGGUGCAGAUCUGAUGUUUCGAAACAUUUCCUUUAUCUUUAAGAUCUUCCAUUUUUAUCACUGUCUUAUUAUUUAUGUAAUGCUAUCCCCACAAAGAAGGUUAUGCAGUGUUUGCAAGCGUGUCAUUACUCUGUCUGUAAAAAAAAAAAGAGUUUUGAAUGAAUUCUGAUAAAAAAAAAAAAAUCUUGUAGAGUUGGGUCAUAUUAACACUUUGUUGAAAAUUGAAAUUUGUCUUUCACCCACCAAGGUCACCAAGGUCAACUUAAUGAUUUGUUGGUCAAAAAUUAACAUUUGACCUCUGACCUCCGACCUCUCCUUCAACAUCAACAGAUGAUCUGAAGGUCAAAGUGAUAAUAAUGCUACAUAGAGUUAUUUGAAAUGACAAUAGUUGUCAGACUGACAAGAACAUGCUGGCAUGGGAUACAUUUGGAGAAAAGCUGAUUCAUUUUAUUAUGGCUUUGUUGUGUAUAUUACAAUAAGACGUUAUAACCAUUUAAGUAUGUAAUAAUAUGAAUAAAUGUACAAUAUUUCUUAAUAAUAAUAAUUAUUAUUAAUUGAAAAAAAUUAACUUGUGAUAACAAAAAAAUCACUUGAUAUUUAUUAAACAUAAUUUUAAUAAAUGAACUUUACUAAACGGGAAGAUGAAUGCUCGGUAUUUACUGUAUCUACUCAAGUAAAAAAAAAUAAAAUAAAUAAAAAAGUAAUUGUACUCAAAAUUAUAUCAGUUAUAUUAAAUCUUCCAGUAGUCACAGAUUUCAAAAGGCCAAGUAAAUCUUUGCACUUAUUUUUACUGCACUACAAACAUCUUAACGUAAAACAAAAUGAAUAUAUAGAAAGUACAAGAUUAUUCCUGCUCUGGUCGAGGGUUUUACUCUUGGACUGCUUCUUGUUUGGUUUUUCUCUCAAACUAUCCAAACCUCACUACCUCCUGUUAAUCCCACCCUGAAAGGCAUUAGCUAAAUAUUUAGUUAAAUGAUGGAAACAGGACUAUACUUAGAAGCCCUACUUUUAUUAUGAUUUAGUCAACUUGUGGAUGAAACUUUCUUUACUUGAGAUUAGAGACAAAAAUCUUUUUUUAGGAAGAGUUUUCUUUUAUGCCUUUUAGUGCUGAUGACUUGUGUUCAGUAAAAAUUAAGUAAAUAAAUAAAUAAACAUAAGCCUGUAACUUAGGUACCAAGGUAUCUGAGCAUCAGAUGAUGGAAAAGAAAAUAAUUACAGAGGCUUGGUAUUUCUUUCUAUGAGGUACUUUGUUGCCAGGGUAACUGAAGUAAAGCAAUGGGCUUUUUAUUAUGUGGCUUGUCAUAACAAAGCCCAAUUUUCUCAUGGCUAUUAUGAAAAUGUUCCCACUUUGAUAUGUUGGAAAUGUCAUCCACUAUACAGGGAUGAGAGGCGUGCUGCAGUCAGUUAAAACAGCCAUGUGUACUCAGAUAGUUUGCUUCAGUGUUUUGGACUUGACUGUAUGCAGUCUGUAAUUGAUCAGAUCCACAAUCUAUAAGAAAAAAAAGAUUUUGUUGCCAUUUUGCAUCUUUACACCAUCACAGUGAUUUUAAAUCAGACAAUCAAAAUGUGAUUUAAGUGCAGAAUUUCAGCUUAAAUUAAAGGGAUUUAACUUAAACUGUUUAGGUGGUAGCUAUUUCUAUGCACAGACCUCCAUUGACAGACCCUCAAAAUUAAACAAAUAUGAAAUAAAUAAGGGAUUGUUUUAAAUACAUAUCCUAACAUUUCCAGUCAAUGACUGCGUGAAGUCCAGAAUC
Long non-coding RNA from Astatotilapia calliptera (eastern happy), 2325 nucleotides. Lineage: Eukaryota; Metazoa; Chordata; Actinopteri; Cichliformes; Cichlidae. The record is from Ensembl.